CUAUGAAGUCUCUGUUUGUGGUGCAAUGCUGUUCCUAAGCACGUUCCUGAGAAUGCAGCUUUAUUCUGCUCACUCACGUUAGCAGCCGGAGCAGUGUUGUUUCAGCUUGGAGUUCCUUAAGGCCCUUGCUUCGUGUUGGCGAAGGGGGAAGAAUGGGAGUAACAUGGCUACGAUUAUGCGGACACCUCUGACAGAGCUAGACCAGUUACAAGGUGACUGGCAGACUCUUCGAGGGGCCUGAGGAAGGCAGCUGCUGACAGCAGGGGUUCCCUCUCCCUGCCACAAUUCCCAUCCCUCCUGAAGCUCUGUCGCUUGCUGCUAGCUCUCUGCUGAUGCAUCUCCGCUGUAGGCUCCUCCACGUGCAAGCAGCUACAGCUUCAGGGAGCUCCGGGAAGCUUUGCUCCCUUGCAAUAGCUAAGGAUCUGGCCCACAA
Struthio camelus australis is the source of this 433-nucleotide non-coding RNA. Lineage: Eukaryota; Metazoa; Chordata; Aves; Struthioniformes; Struthionidae. The record is from RefSeq and is a predicted model, not a curated record.